Molecule: transfer RNA, 71 nt
Filed under: Heterocephalus glaber (naked mole-rat)
Lineage: Eukaryota; Metazoa; Chordata; Mammalia; Rodentia; Bathyergidae
Rfam family: tRNA
About the family: Transfer RNA (tRNA) molecules are approximately 80 nucleotides in length. Their secondary structure includes four short double-helical elements and three loops (D, anti-codon, and T loops).
Source: Rfam by way of RNAcentral
GGUGAUGUAGCUUAGUGGUAGUGCUCUUGCUUUGCGUGCACAAGGCUUGGGUUUGAUCCCCAGCAUUGCCC